AGUUAAAUAAAUAAUUAAAAUUGUGUACAAAUAAUAAAAGGUAAAAUUAGAAUAUUAUUUUGUAUGAUAAAAAAAUUAUAAUUGAAGCUAAAAAAAUUUGGUAAUAAACUAGGAUUAGAUACCCUAUUAUUCCAAAAUAAAUAAACCUAAACUAAAUUAGUAUAAGAUAAAUACUUAAAAUUUAAAAAAUUUGGCGGCAAUUUAAUCUUUUCAGAGGAACCUGUUUUAUAAUCGAUAAACCACGAAGAAUCUUACUUGUCCUAGUAAUCUACAGUUUGUAUACCAUCAUUGUCAGAUAAUUCUUAGAAGAAAAAUUAUUAAGUUUAAUUAUUUAAAAAAAUUAGAUCAUGGUGCAGUUUAUGGGCAAGGUAAAAUGGGUUACAAUAAAUUACUUUACUACGGAUUAAUAAAAUAAUUUUGUUAUGAAGGUGGAUUUGAUUGUAUUUAAAGUUUAAUAAGCAAACAAGAUAUAAGUUCUAAAUUGUGUACAUAUCGCCCGUCGCUUUCAUUUAUAAGU
RNAcentral lists this ribosomal RNA (517 nucleotides) under Hemiplax hirtipes. Its description in RNAcentral is "Macrophthalmus hirtipes partial 12S ribosomal RNA". Lineage: Eukaryota; Metazoa; Arthropoda; Malacostraca; Decapoda; Varunidae. The record is from RNAcentral.